AGAGUUUGAUCAUGGCUCAGAUUGAACGCUGGCGGCAGGCCUAACACAUGCAAGUCGAGCGGAAACGAGUUAUCUGAACCUUCGGGGGACGAUAACGGCGUCGAGCGGCGGACGGGUGAGUAAUGCCUAGGAAAUUGCCCUGAUGUGGGGGAUAACCAUUGGAAACGAUGGCUAAUACCGCAUAAUGCCUACGGGCCAAAGAGGGGACCUUCGGGCCUCUCGCGUCAGGAUAUGCCUAGGUGGGAUUAGCUAGUUGGUGAGGUAAUGGCUCACCAAGGCGACGAUCCCUAGCUGGUCUGAGAGGAUGAUCAGCCACACUGGAACUGAGACACGGUCCAGACUCCUACGGGAGGCAGCAGUGGGGAAUAUUGCACAAUGGGCGCAAGCCUGAUGCAGCCAUGCCGCGUGUGUGAAGAAGGCCUUCGGGUUGUAAAGCACUUUCAGUCGUGAGGAAGGUAGUGUAGUUAAUAGCUGCAUUAUUUGACGUUAGCGACAGAAGAAGCACCGGCUAACUCCGUGCCAGCAGCCGCGGUAAUACGGAGGGUGCGAGCGUUAAUCGGAAUUACUGGGCGUAAAGCGCAUGCAGGUGGUUUGUUAAGUCAGAUGUGAAAGCCCGGGGCUCAACCUCGGAAUAGCAUUUGAAACUGGCAGACUAGAGUACUGUAGAGGGGGGUAGAAUUUCAGGUGUAGCGGUGAAAUGCGUAGAGAUCUGAAGGAAUACCGGUGGCGAAGGCGGCCCCCUGGACAGAUACUGACACUCAGAUGCGAAAGCGUGGGGAGCAAACAGGAUUAGAUACCCUGGUAGUCCACGCCGUAAACGAUGUCUACUUGGAGGUUGUGGCCUUGAGCCGUGGCUUUCGGAGCUAACGCGUUAAGUAGACCGCCUGGGGAGUACGGUCGCAAGAUUAAAACUCAAAUGAAUUGACGGGGGCCCGCACAAGCGGUGGAGCAUGUGGUUUAAUUCGAUGCAACGCGAAGAACCUUACCUACUCUUGACAUCCAGAGAACUUUCCAGAGAUGGAUUGGUGCCUUCGGGAACUCUGAGACAGGUGCUGCAUGGCUGUCGUCAGCUCGUGUUGUGAAAUGUUGGGUUAAGUCCCGCAACGAGCGCAACCCUUAUCCUUGUUUGCCAGCGAGUAAUGUCGGGAACUCCAGGGAGACUGCCGGUGAUAAACCGGAGGAAGGUGGGGACGACGUCAAGUCAUCAUGGCCCUUACGAGUAGGGCUACACACGUGCUACAAUGGCGCAUACAGAGGGCAGCAAGCUAGCGAUAGUGAGCGAAUCCCAAAAAGUGCGUCGUAGUCCGGAUUGGAGUCUGCAACUCGACUCCAUGAAGUCGGAAUCGCUAGUAAUCGUGGAUCAGAAUGCCACGGUGAAUACGUUCCCGGGCCUUGUACACACCGCCCGUCACACCAUGGGAGUGGGCUGCAAAAGAAGUAGGUAGUUUAACCUUCGGGAGGACGCUUACCACUUUGUGGUUCAUGACUGGGGUGAAGUCGUAACAAGGUAGCGCUAGGGGAACCUGGCGCUGGAUCACCU
This 1540-nucleotide ribosomal RNA is filed under the name Vibrio owensii. RNAcentral's name for it is "bacterial SSU rRNA". It matches the Rfam family "Bacterial small subunit ribosomal RNA". The record is from RNAcentral. Lineage: Bacteria; Pseudomonadati; Pseudomonadota; Gammaproteobacteria; Vibrionales; Vibrionaceae.